Ameiurus melas (black bullhead) is the source of this 74-nucleotide non-coding RNA. The record is from the annotation of a GenBank genome assembly. Lineage: Eukaryota; Metazoa; Chordata; Actinopteri; Siluriformes; Ictaluridae.
GUGCACGGUGGCUUAGUGGUUAGCAUGCUUGUCUCACACCUCCAGGGAUGGGGGUUCGAGUCCCACCGUGGCCC